This 253-nucleotide ribosomal RNA is filed under the name uncultured bacterium. Its description in RNAcentral is "partial 16S ribosomal RNA". It matches the Rfam family "Bacterial small subunit ribosomal RNA", at positions 524 to 776 of the family's 1533-position model. The record is from RNAcentral.
GACGUAGGUGGCGAGCGUUAUCCGGAUUUACUGGUCGUAAAGCGUGUGCAGGCGGCUUAUCAAGUGGUGUAUGAAAUAUCCAGGCUCAACCUGGAGGGGUUAUGCCAGACUGGUAGGCUAGAGUGCGAGAGAGGGGCGUGGAAUUCCGGGUGUAGUGGUGAAAUGCGUAGAGAUCCGGAGGAACCCCAGAGGCGAAGGCGGCGCCCUGGCUCGACACUGACGCUCAGACACGACAGCAUGGGGAGCGAACGGG